AAAGGAAUAGACGGGGGCCCGCACAAGCAGUGGAGUAUGUGGUUUAAUUCGAAGCAACGCGAAGAACCUUACCAGGCCUUGACAUCCCGCGCAUAGCAUAGAGAUAUGUGAAGCCCUUAGGGGCGCGGAGACAGGUGGUGCAUGGUUGUCGUCAGCUCGUGUCGUGAGAUGUUGGGUUAAGUCCCGCAACGAGCGCAACCCUUAUUGAUAGUUGCUACGCAAGAGCACUCUAUCGAGACUGCCGUUGACAAAACGGAGGAAGGCGGGGACGACGUCAAAUCAUCAUGCCCCUUAUGGCCUGGGCAACACACGUACUACAAUGGCCGUCAACAGAGGGAAGCGAAGGAGCGAUCCGGAGCAAAACCCCAAAAGCGGUCUCAGUUCGGAUUGCAGGCUGCAACCCGCCUGCAUGAAGUCGGAAUUGCUAGUAAUCGCGAAUCAGCAUGUCGCGGUGAAUACGUUCCCGGGCCUUGUACACACCGCCCGU
RNAcentral lists this ribosomal RNA (487 nucleotides) under uncultured bacterium. RNAcentral describes it as "bacterial SSU rRNA". It matches the Rfam family "Bacterial small subunit ribosomal RNA", at positions 903 to 1397 of the family's 1533-position model. The record is from RNAcentral.